CAGGGCGUAGUAUAGUGGCAGUACGCAGUCCUCGGGCGACUGUAGCGGGUGUUCGAUUCACCCCGCCCUGA
RNAcentral lists this transfer RNA (71 nucleotides) under Candidatus Yanofskyibacteriota bacterium. RNAcentral describes it as "tRNA-Pro". It matches the Rfam family "tRNA". Rfam says of the family: Transfer RNA (tRNA) molecules are approximately 80 nucleotides in length. Their secondary structure includes four short double-helical elements and three loops (D, anti-codon, and T loops). Further hydrogen bonds mediate the characteristic L-shaped molecular structure. tRNAs have two regions of fundamental functional importance: the anti-codon, which is responsible for specific mRNA codon recognition, and the 3' end, to which the tRNAs corresponding amino acid is attached (by aminoacyl-tRNA synthetases). tRNAs cope with the degeneracy of the genetic code in two manners: having more than one tRNA (with a specific anti-codon) for a particular amino acid; and 'wobble' base-pairing, i.e. permitting non-standard base-pairing at the 3rd anti-codon position. Lineage: Bacteria; Candidatus Yanofskyibacteriota. The record is from RNAcentral.